This 231-nucleotide ribosomal RNA is filed under the name uncultured Eubacteriales bacterium. Its description in RNAcentral is "uncultured Clostridiales bacterium partial 16S ribosomal RNA". It matches the Rfam family "Bacterial small subunit ribosomal RNA", at positions 103 to 334 of the family's 1533-position model. The record is from RNAcentral. Lineage: Bacteria; Bacillati; Bacillota; Clostridia; Eubacteriales.
CGGGUGAGUAACGCGUGAGCAACCUGCCUAUGACAGUGGGAUAGCCUCGGGAAACCGGGAUUAAUACCGCAUAAAAUCGUAGAAACACAUGUUUUAACGGUCAGAGAUUUAUCGGUCAUAGAUGGGCUCGCGUCUGAUUAGCUAGUUGGUGAGAUAACAGCCCACCAAGGCGACGAUCAGUAGCCGGUCUGAGAGGAUGAACGGCCACAUUUGAACUGAGACACGGUCCAA